GAUGAACGCUGGCGGCGUGCCUAAUACAUGCAAGUAGAACGCUGAAGCUUGGUGCUUGCACCGAGCGGAUGAGUUGCGAACGGGUGAGUAACGCGUAGGUAACCUGCCUCUUAGCGGGGGAUAACUAUUGGAAACGAUAGCUAAUACCGCAUAAAAGUCGAUAUCGCAUGAUGUUGAUUUGAAAGGUGCAAUUGCAUCACUAAGAGAUGGACCUGCGUUGUAUUAGCUAGUUGGUGAGGUAACGGCUCACCAAGGCGACGAUACAUAGCCGACCUGAGAGGGUGAUCGGCCACACUGGGACUGAGACACGGCCCAGACUCCUACGGGAGGCAGCAGUAGGGAAUCUUCGGCAAUGGGGGCAACCCUGACCGAGCAACGCCGCGUGAGUGAAGAAGGUUUUCGGAUCGUAAAGCUCUGUUGUAAGAGAAGAACGAGUGUGAGAGUGGAAAGUUCACACUGUGACGGUAACUUACCAGAAAGGACGGCUAACUAC
RNAcentral lists this ribosomal RNA (493 nucleotides) under Streptococcus parasanguinis. RNAcentral's name for it is "bacterial SSU rRNA". It matches the Rfam family "Bacterial small subunit ribosomal RNA", at positions 28 to 504 of the family's 1533-position model. The record is from RNAcentral. Lineage: Bacteria; Bacillati; Bacillota; Bacilli; Lactobacillales; Streptococcaceae.